Molecule: ribosomal RNA, 585 nt
Filed under: uncultured Gammaproteobacteria bacterium
Lineage: Bacteria; Pseudomonadati; Pseudomonadota; Gammaproteobacteria
Description: bacterial SSU rRNA
Rfam family: Bacterial small subunit ribosomal RNA
Source: RNAcentral
CCUACGGGAGGCAGCAGUGGGGAAUAUUGGACAAUGGGGGCAACCCUGAUCCAGCCAUGCCGCGUGUGUGAAGAAGGCUUUCGGGUUGUAAAGCACUUUCAGUGGGGAGGAAAUGUCGGGGAUUAAUACCCUCUGGCUUUGACGUUACCCACAGAAGAAGCACCGGCUAACUCCGUGCCAGCAGCCGCGGUAAUACGGAGGGUGCAAGCGUUAAUCGGAAUUACUGGGCGUAAAGCGCGCGUAGGCGGUUAGAUCAGUCGGGUGUGAAAGCCCCGGGCUCAACCUGGGAACUGCAUUCGAUACUGUCUGACUGGAGUAUGGGAGAGGGUAGUGGAAUUCCACGUGUAGCGGUGAAAUGCGUAGAUAUGUGGAGGAACACCUGUGGCGAAGGCGGCUACCUGGCCCAAUACUGACGCUGAGGUGCGAAAGCGUGGGUAGCGAACAGGAUUAGAUACCCUGGUAGUCCACGCCGUAAACGAUGUCAACUAGCCGUUGGGAGACUUGAUCUUUUAGUGGCGCAGCUAACGCGAUAAGUUGACCGCCUGGGGAGUACGGCCGCAAGGUUAAAACUCAAAUGAAUGACGG